CCAUCCAAUAAGGCCAAGUAGCCAGCUGAAUUGUACAGGUUUGACACUCUCAUCUCGCCGGUUACCAUGGAAACCCAAUCAAAGAGCCAGUUGCUGUUUAUUACGUCAAUUGUCAAAUUUGCCUGAUUUUUAGUUCAAGGCCUCCUAGAUUGCGUUACGGAACCACUUCCGAAUGUUCUGUCAAUGAUUUUAAAACCAGCCAACCAAUACAAGUGUAUAGCCACAGUCCAAAUAAAUGUCAUUUUACUUUUUGGCUCCAUAAGGUUUGCUGGUAGCAGGCGUGCGAUGUACCACAAAGUGGAACCAUAAAUCAAGUGGCAGUGGUAACUCUGUCUUACUCUGGGGUAUAGCUAAAAUAUAUUUAUUAAUAAUAUGAAA
Molecule: long non-coding RNA, 378 nt
Organism: Culex quinquefasciatus (southern house mosquito)
Lineage: Eukaryota; Metazoa; Arthropoda; Insecta; Diptera; Culicidae
Exons: 2
Source: RefSeq, a predicted model, not a curated record